UCCCGACGUACGCAGUUUUAUCCGGUAAAGCGAAUG
RNAcentral lists this non-coding RNA (36 nucleotides) under Mus musculus (house mouse). Lineage: Eukaryota; Metazoa; Chordata; Mammalia; Rodentia; Muridae. The record is from RNAcentral.